UACGGGGGGGGUAAGCGUUGUUCGGAAUUACUGGGCGUAAAGGGCUCGUAGGCGGCCAACUAAGUCAGACGUGAAAUCCCUCAGCUUAACUGGGGAACUGCGUCUGAUACUGGAUGGCUUGGAUUCGGGAGAGGAAUGCGGAAUUCCCGGUGUAGUGGUGGAAUGCGUAGAUAUCGGGAGGAACACCAGUGGCGAAGGCGGUUGCCUGGAGCUUUGCUGACGCUGAGGCGCGAAAGCGUGGGGAGCGAUCCGG
Molecule: ribosomal RNA, 253 nt
Filed under: uncultured bacterium
Lineage: Bacteria
Description: partial 16S ribosomal RNA
Rfam family: Bacterial small subunit ribosomal RNA
Source: RNAcentral